GACAGAGGUGCCGAGCGUUAGGCGGAAUCACUGGGCUUAAAGCGUGUGUAGGCGGACUUCUAAGUACCUUGUGAAAUCCCAUGGCUCAACCAUGGAACUGCUCGGUAUACUGGUUGUCUUGAGCCACUUAGGGGCAGUCGGAACAGACGGUGGAGCGGUGAAAUGCGUAGAUAUCGGUAGGAACACCAGUGGCGAAGGCGGUCUCCUGGGGCAUUCUUGACGCUGAGGCGCGAAAGCUGGGGGAGCAAACGGG
RNAcentral lists this ribosomal RNA (253 nucleotides) under uncultured bacterium. RNAcentral describes it as "partial 16S ribosomal RNA". It matches the Rfam family "Bacterial small subunit ribosomal RNA", at positions 524 to 776 of the family's 1533-position model. The record is from RNAcentral.